Molecule: non-coding RNA, 1729 nt
Organism: Cricetulus griseus (Chinese hamster)
Lineage: Eukaryota; Metazoa; Chordata; Mammalia; Rodentia; Cricetidae
Source: RefSeq, a predicted model, not a curated record
GCGGCGCGGGGCGCGGCGGAGUGGACCGUACCAAGUGCGCUUUGCGUGCAGCGAUCUCGUUGGUGCUUCCGGGACCCGUGCGCAUGCAGCCGGGACGAGCAAGAGAUGUGGCGCGUGGUCGCGACCAAGAGGGCUGCGGGAGAGGGCUGCCCGCCCCCCACUUGCUAAUCACCGUCGUGGGGUUACCACCCUCAACCCCUGCAGUCCCUCCGGGACUCCAGCUGUCAAAAUGCCUGGAAGACGGGGCAUUCUGCGGGCCGUGCCAUUUGGAGGGGGUAGGAGCGAGCAAGAGCCAGGCUUUACGUCAGGCAUAAAAGAAAUAAAUUGUGUCAGCGCCUCACUCCAGGGACAGGUACGACUUGGUAAGAAGUAAAGCGCUUCCUGGGAAAACUGGAUGCAGAAAACUGAUGUCUUCCUAUGUCACUUCCCCCAACGCAGGUUGGGUAGGAGUGAGUUGGGUCCCGUGGCUACCGCUGAUUGGUUGCGAUAAAGUUACGCGGACCAAUGAGAAAAAGAAAGAAAAAAUUCUGGCCUAUAGGAAGAGAACAGCAGAGCUUCAAACUCCACAAGAACGAGGCUCAGAAACCUAAAAACAAGGCAGCAGUUGUGGCGGAGCAGAGCUGAGGGCCGAGGAAAGGCAGUCAUUGCUCCCAAGAAGGCGUGCGUUGUGCAGCAGCAAAAGCUGAAGAAGACCCUGGAAGUGGGGAUCCGGAAGAAGACUGAGCAUGACGUGGUGAUGAAAGCCAACUCCAGCCUGCCCAAGAAGCUCACACUGCUGAAGGGUGCAUCAAAGAAGACGGGGGCCACCAUGCCCAGCAAGACACCAUCCUAAAGGCACUGGGACUUUGCAGGUGACCCCACAGGCUGGCUGGACUUGAAGAGGACCUUGCUCUAGUCCUGAUUGCACCUGGGACAGCAAUGGGCAGAUGACCCUUGGCAAAAAACUAGCCACCACAGAAAUUGCCCACCAGAACUAGAUAAGACCGUAUUGCUGAAGACACUGAGCUCCUUGGCUGCACGGUAUGGAGAAAUGAAGCUGCAACUGAGCUGGGAGUUUCUCCCUUGCUGGCCAGCUUUCACGGUCUCAGAACUCUCAGAAGUUUCUCCCUUGCUGGCCAGGUUUCACAGUCUCAGAACUCUCAGAAGUUCCUCCCUCGCUGGCCAGGUUUCACAGUCUCAGAGCUCUCAGAACACGCUGCACAAGUUGCUUGGGGAGAAAAGGCAUCACUGAUCUUACCUCGCUGUGAACCCCGUGAACUCCAAGACCAAUCAGCCAGGCAGGAUGUGUCCAGUUGUAUAAUAGUGGCAUUACUGGUAUGGGGUAACUGAUCCAGUCACACUCUGUUUGGAUUUGAAGCUCACUCUACAGGAGACAAUCUAUGCUUAUUAAUGUAAGAAUGGUCAAAAACCUAUAGCAGGGAAAGUCAUGGUUCCUGGGGAAAGGAUACUGGUUAGCUAAAUCGGAGGGGGUGGGGGGAGAUGCAGUGGCACAUACCUGCAAUCCCAGCCCGCCUGCACUGAGAUAGGAGGCAGAGACGGGAAAAUCGUCUUGAAACUUGUGGGCCAGCUAGCCAGAAUACUUACCAUGGCAGAAAUAGCAAGAAAGACCAUGUCUCAAUCCGGGGGAGAAAACUGACUCCUCAAAGUUACCCACUGACCUUCUCAAAUUUGUUGUGGCACAAGAGCACCUGUGUGCCACACACACAAUAAAAAGUAAAGUUUUAAAGAU